This 468-nucleotide ribosomal RNA is filed under the name Cladosporium cladosporioides. RNAcentral's name for it is "eukaryotic LSU rRNA". The stretch from base 139 to 292 matches the Rfam family "5.8S ribosomal RNA". Lineage: Eukaryota; Fungi; Ascomycota; Dothideomycetes; Cladosporiales; Cladosporiaceae. The record is from RNAcentral.
CCACCGGGAUGUUCAUAACCCUUUGUUGUCCGACUCUGUUGCCUCCGGGGCGACCCUGCCUUCGGGCGGGGGCUCCGGGUGGACACUUCAAACUCUUGCGUAACUUUGCAGUCUGAGUAAACUUAAUUAAUAAAUUAAAACUUUUAACAACGGAUCUCUUGGUUCUGGCAUCGAUGAAGAACGCAGCGAAAUGCGAUAAGUAAUGUGAAUUGCAGAAUUCAGUGAAUCAUCGAAUCUUUGAACGCACAUUGCGCCCCCUGGUAUUCCGGGGGGCAUGCCUGUUCGAGCGUCAUUUCACCACUCAAGCCUCGCUUGGUAUUGGGCAACGCGGUCCGCCGCGUGCCUCAAAUCGACCGGCUGGGUCUUCUGUCCCCUAAGCGUUGUGGAAACUAUUCGCUAAAGGGUGUUCGGGAGGCUACGCCGUAAAACAACCCCAUUUCUAAGGUUGACCUCGGAUCAGGUAGGGAU